This 324-nucleotide ribosomal RNA is filed under the name Triticum aestivum (bread wheat). RNAcentral's name for it is "partial small subunit ribosomal RNA". Lineage: Eukaryota; Viridiplantae; Streptophyta; Magnoliopsida; Poales; Poaceae. The record is from RNAcentral.
AUGAGGCUUUGUUGGUCGGUCUUCAAUUCUUCAUGCUGCUGCUGCUACAUGAUGGCCCUCUUCAAUUCAGCAUCCGUUGCGGACGCCGCAGCUUCCACCUCCAGAAGAGAACCUGCUCCUCGUGCGGUUACCCGUCCGCCUGCAUCCGCAAGUGUAAGUUCCCCCUCCCUCUAUCCUAGAUCUCUAGGUUUGUUGCUAUCAUGCACCAUGUUCUUGAUGUUGCGCGUCCUCAUGUGGAUGCCACGAACGGUGCUGCUCCUGCGUGCAGAUUUGAUUCGCCGCAUUAGUAUGCGAUUGUUGUCUCGCCGUGGUUGUUCAAAUUGA